UGGCAGGUCUGUUUACUUUCUGGUAUCUUCUUUCUGUGGGCCAGAUAACCACCAUUUCCUGAUCCCAUACCACCAAUACAACCAGCCAUGGUCCAGCCACAAACAGGAUCUGAACUCACCACAGAUGUUGGACCUGGACCUAACCCAAGAAAAUCAUGCCCACAGCUAAGCCUGAUCCUGAUACGGGCAGAGGAAGACGUAACUUCAGUCAAGAAGCUAAAGGAACACACACGUUGAAGGGAACAUGGGAAAACUGUCUGUGCAGCUCCACCUUCUGGGCGCAUUCUGCCAAACAUUUGGAGGGCCUAACCAUGUUUCUUGGGAGUCUCAUUUGGCUGACUGUGGAGACCAGGUCUCUAGAUGGAUGUUUUACCUUUAAACAUGACAAUUUUGUUUGAAUAUAACGAGCCAAGAAUUACACAGCUGCCAUUCUUUGUUUUGUCUAAAUUGUCUUGAUUUUUAACUUUACAUGUAUAAACUAUAUUCCAAAAACAAAAUUAAAAUGAAUAGGCAGGAGUUAGAUGGGGUACAUGAUGGAUGCUGGGUGUGUAGUUAGUAAUAGGAACAUUUGCUGCCACCUACAAGAACACGUGGGACACUUUCCCCUUUUCUAGACGAAAAACCAGGGAUCCAGGGCCAAAUUUCAGUUUAUCUUUCUUUUAGAAAGGGCUGUACCUGUUGCAUGUAUGUUUUAAUUAAGAAAACUGAAUAUACAAAAAUUCCAUAUUUCAGAAGCAAUGUUUUGAUGGUCAUUUGCAGUAGCUAAGGAUGGCUUCAUGAAAACAGGGGCUUCCUCAGAAUCCCUUUCUGUAUCUAUCAGCCACUCUAGUGUAGGCAAUUGACUUAAAAGUUUUGCAAAACAAGGCAUGCCGCCAAUUCUGUUCCUCCCCUAAUCAAUCCUUUCUCACAAAUAAUAAAAUGAUUGCUCAGUGUUAAUCUCUCUAUGAAACUUUACAGAGUAAUCCUAUCAUUUGCCUGUUAUGCAGAAAUGAGCUGAAAGCAUCAGGAACAUUAGCAUAUUUUUCCUCCAUGAAAUUUCCAGAGGACAACGACAAACAGACCCCCUUCUCCUGCCUCCUUCUCUCCAACAACCCCCGACAAAAUACCCUACACCCAGAUUCCCCUCUUUCCUUGGUAAGGCUGAUGGAGGCUUAGAAGGACACUUGGUAUCCCCACUCCCUCUUCCCAUUUUAAUCAGUCAAAAUGCCAAUGAAAUGCAAGUCAACACGUGUUCUUUUUUUCUUUUUUAAAGCAUGAAAAACAUUUCUUUCAAAAUAAAUAUACAGUUCUAUAAAAAACAUAAAAAGGCACUCUAAUCUCGGCUGCUGUCCAGCAGAAACAUGUUCAACUGUUUUUAGAGUCAUCCAUAAAAAUAAGUUCUUUUAGACAGGUUUAGAACACUUUCAAACAUAGGAAAUUCUUUAUUCCACAAACAAGUCCUUUUAGAGAUACUCUAAAUAUGUCUGUGAUGAAUGUCUUUUUCACAUCCAGGAUUCAAGGCUGUUGAAGUGAGCUAGACUACGAAUACCAAGAACACAAAAUUGUAUUGAUACAGAAAACUUACGUAAAUUGCUUUGUCAGACUACAAAAAUACAUCAGGUUUUAUCUAUGGUUUUCAUCGGUUAAUAAGUUAGUUGCUUAAUAUACCGCUCAGGUGUUUCUCUUAAUUCAAGUAUGAAAGGCAGUCCCGAGUCUUAGGGGCACCCACCGCAGCCACAUUACUGCACUGGGACAGAUGCAGGCCGCAGCGUUCCCAGAAUUUUGUCCCAGUGUGUGAAGUACGGGGCAAAG
This 1791-nucleotide long non-coding RNA is filed under the name Callithrix jacchus (white-tufted-ear marmoset). RNAcentral's name for it is "lncRNA (ENSCJAG00000078310.1)". The record is from RNAcentral. Lineage: Eukaryota; Metazoa; Chordata; Mammalia; Primates; Cebidae.